UACGUAGGGUGCAAGCGUUGUCCGGAAUCAUUGGGCGUAAAGCGCGCGUAGGCGGCCCGAUAAGUCCGCUGUGAAAGUCAACGGCUCAACUGUUGAAAGCCGGUGGAUACUGUCGGGCUAGAGUACGGAAGAGGCAAGUGGAAUUCCUGGUGUAGCGGUGGAAUGCGCAGAUAUCAGGAGGAACACCCAUAGCGAAGGCAGCUUGCUGGGACGUUACUGACGCUAAGGCGCGAAAGCGUGGGGAGCGAACAGG
This 253-nucleotide ribosomal RNA is filed under the name uncultured bacterium. RNAcentral describes it as "partial 16S ribosomal RNA". It matches the Rfam family "Bacterial small subunit ribosomal RNA", at positions 524 to 776 of the family's 1533-position model. The record is from RNAcentral.